GAUACUUCAAUGCCUUCGACCUUAUCUGGCUACACCCUUCAAAGUUCCUCUCUUUUCAUUAUUUAUCCAUAAUUUGAGCAGGUGGGAUUGUAAACAACACGUUGCGUCCACAAAUACCAACUUGGUGCGAUCCUGAAUGGAAAUCAUUGAUGGAAAGUUGCUGGGCGGCUGAUCCAGCAGAGAGGCCAUCAUUCUCAGAAAUAUCCCAGAAGUUGAGAAGCAUGGCAGCAGCAAUGAAUCUGAAAUGAUAAUGAAUAUAUUGCAGCAACCAUUUGCUUGUUUUGUACGAUUUUGUUCAUUUUUGAGAGGAACAGUAAGUUGAUAUGAAGCAGGCAAACAUCUGCAACUCUCAUCCUUGCCGCUCCCUAACUCUCAUUAAUCUAGUAAUGCAGUAUUAUUAGCUUGCUUCUCCAUCACCUUUAUUUUGUCAACACAUCUUCAUGAAGUAAAACAGUAUGCUCUGUGGUCUUGCUAUUGCUAGGAUAUACUUCAACAAAGCCUGAGGAGAGACGUAAUUGCAUGAUCAGACUGUUGUCGAACAUAGUGGUGUUAAGAUGGCAAGGCUGUUCUUCCAAUAUGGAAGCCUUUUUUUUAUCUCCGUCUUGAGGUUGAAUUGUCUUGCUACUGUACAUAGUUUUAGUUGCUUUAAAUAGGGAACCACUCCUCUGCUCCAAAGAUUUAGUUCCAAAACUUCGAGCUAUAUUUACACUCCUGUUUUUGACAAUAUAAUUUACCCAAAUUUCCAAUUAGGAAUUGCGUUUGCACCAUCAAUGUGGAAAGUAUACAACGUAAUUGAUCAA
Coffea arabica (coffee) is the source of this 800-nucleotide non-coding RNA. Lineage: Eukaryota; Viridiplantae; Streptophyta; Magnoliopsida; Gentianales; Rubiaceae. The record is from RefSeq and is a predicted model, not a curated record.